RNAcentral lists this long non-coding RNA (429 nucleotides) under Cavia porcellus (domestic guinea pig). RNAcentral's name for it is "lncRNA (ENSCPOG00000031880.1)". Lineage: Eukaryota; Metazoa; Chordata; Mammalia; Rodentia; Caviidae. The record is from RNAcentral.
CUGGGAAAUAGCCACAAUGAUUAUGUGGACCAACCAUGGAUUCUUUCUUAUAAAAAAUAAAUGAACUAUCGUAGUGUGCACUGUGCAGAAGGCUUCCACCUCAGGGGAGAACUGAGAUGACUUCAAUGACCUGGAGGGACUCUCUGGAAGAACGUGCAGCUGAAGGCUUUGUUUCCAAUCAACACUGGAGCUGAUGAGCUUCUUUUAUAACAGAAUCCCCUUCUCCCAGCGGUUGCAGGAUCAAUAGAGAGAGAUGAGAUCUCCAAGUUGUCUGCUGACAUUUAAGAAAAAUGGUGACUCUCUCAAGCCUUUGUGAUCUAAAGUAGGGGUUAGCAAGCUUUUUUUUUUAUUUUAUGAACCUCUGAAAGGUCCAUAAAUAUUUUAGGCUUUGUGGUCUCACAACCACAAACAUGUAAAUGAGUGAAUUUU